AGUUAAUAAGUUUUAAAACGUAUAUUUUGAAAAUAUAAAAAAGAAGAUAAUUGACUUCUAUUGACUU
This 67-nucleotide transfer RNA is filed under the name Ramulus hainanensis. RNAcentral describes it as "Ramulus hainanense tRNA-Ser". The record is from RNAcentral. Lineage: Eukaryota; Metazoa; Arthropoda; Insecta; Phasmatodea; Phasmatidae.